This 800-nucleotide unclassified non-coding RNA is filed under the name Hevea brasiliensis (rubber tree). Lineage: Eukaryota; Viridiplantae; Streptophyta; Magnoliopsida; Malpighiales; Euphorbiaceae. The record is from RNAcentral.
ACCCUUUAUUAGUGCUAGAAAGGUUUUGAUGGAUAUGGGGCCACCAAUAAGCAAGGAAAUCCAACUCGUUUCCUUCCACACUGUGUCCAAAGGAUAUUGGGGUGAAUGUGGGCAGCGAGGUGGAUACUUUGAGAUGACCAACAUUCCUGCACAGACAGUGGAUGAGAUUUAUAAGGUUGCAUCCAUAUCUCUCAGUCCUAAUGUCCCUGCACAGAUAUUUAUGGGUUUGAUGGUCAACCCACCUAAACCUGGAGAUAUUUCAUAUGAACAGUUUAUUAGGGAGAGCAAAGGAAUCCUUGAAUCACUGAGGAGAAGAGCAAGGAUUAUGACAGAUGGAUUCAACAGCUGCAGAAAUGUGGUUUGCAAUUUCACAGAAGGUGCCAUGUAUUCAUUUCCUCAAAUACGGUUGCCACCUAAAGCAAUAGAGGCUGCCAAAAAGGCUGGAAAAGUUCCUGAUGUUUUCUACUGUCUCAAGCUUUUGGAAGCCACUGGCAUUUCCACUGUUCCUGGUUCGGGAUUUGGACAAAAAGAAGGGGUCUUUCACUUGAGAACAACCAUUUUACCAUCUGAGGAAGACAUGCCAGCAAUCAUGGCCAGUUUCAAGAAGUUCAAUGAUGAGUUCAUGGAAGAACAUGAAGACCAUAGGGGUUAUUCAAGAAUGUAAGCAAUGUUUCAAAAUCCAUAAAUUGUAUCAUAUUUCUCAGCUAUUUCACACCAUUUGAUAAAUUCUCCUUGAAUUAUAUCUAUUUGGCAUAAACUUACUUCUGUUGCAGAUUUCAUUCUGCUGCUUUUAUAAUCCC